CUACGGGUGGCAGCAGUGGGGAAUUUUGGACAAUGGGCGAAAGCCUGAUCCAGCCAUUCCGCGUGAGUGAUGAAGGCCUUCGGGUAGUAAAGCUCUUUCGGCCGGGAAGAAAUCGUGCAGGCUAAUAUCCUGCAUGGAUGACGGUACCGGACCAAGAAGCACCGGCUAACUACGUGCCAGCAGCCGCGGUAAUACGUAGGGUACGAGCGUUAAUCGGAAUUACUGGACGUAAAGCGUGCGCAGGCGGAUGUUUAAGCCAGAUGUGAAAUCCCCGGGCUUAACCUGGGAAUGGCAUUUGGAACUGGACAUCUAGGGUGUGUCAGAGGGGGGUGGAAUUCCACGUGUAGCAGUGAAAUGCGUAGAGAUGUGGAGGAACACCGAUGGCGAAGGCAGCCCCCUGGGAUAACACUGACGCUCAUGCACGAAAGCGUGGGGAGCAAACAGGAUUAGAUACCCGAGUAGUC
This 464-nucleotide ribosomal RNA is filed under the name uncultured bacterium. RNAcentral describes it as "partial 16S ribosomal RNA". It matches the Rfam family "Bacterial small subunit ribosomal RNA", at positions 339 to 795 of the family's 1533-position model. The record is from RNAcentral.